Molecule: ribosomal RNA, 237 nt
Filed under: uncultured Glomeromycotina
Lineage: Eukaryota; Fungi; Glomeromycota
Description: partial 28S ribosomal RNA
Source: RNAcentral
UCGUUUAAAGCCAUUACGUCAACGUCCUUAACGAAUGUAAUCACGUUCUAACCUAUUGACGUCAACUUAAAUGACCGUAAGCAAGCUUUCGGCACCUAAGUAACUUUCAGAGGUCAGAGGAUAGCCUAAAAGGUAUUCGUUGCAAUCCUCGGUCUUAAUCACCACAUUUACCAAAGGUAUAACACUUCAACCGAGGCCGAAGCUACAUUCCUCCGAUCAUUUUAUGGCGAUCAAAAC